CAUAAUAACUUACGAAUCGCAUGGCCUUGUGCGGCGAUGGUUCAUUCAAAUUUCUGCCCUAUCAACUUUCGAUGGUAGGAUAGUGGCCUACCAUGGUUUCAACGGGUAACGGGGAAUUAGGGUUCUAUUCCGGAGAGGGAGCCUGAGAAACGGCUACCACAUCCAAGGAAGGCAGCAGGCGCGCAAAUUACCCAAUCCCGACACGGGGAGGUAGUGACAAUAAAUACUGAUACAGGGCCCUUUUGGGUCUUGUAAUUGGAAUGAGUACAAUUGAAAUCCCUUAACGAGGAACAAUUGGAGGGCAAGUCUGGUGCCAGCAGCCGCGGUAAUUCCAGCUCCAAUAGCGUAUAUUAAAGUUGUUGCAGUUAAAAAGCUCGUAGUUGAACCUUGGGCCUGGCUGGCCGGUCCCGCCUCACCGCGUGCACUGGUCCGGCCGGGCCUUUCCUUCUGGGGAGCCGCAUGCCCUUCACUGGGUGUGUCGGGGAACCAGGACUUUUACUUUGAAAAAAUUAGAGUGUUCAAAGCAGGCCUAUGCUCGAAUACAUUAGCAUGGAAUAAUAGAAUAGGACGUGUGGUUCUAUUUUGUUGGUUUCUAGGACCGCCGUAAUGAUUAAUAGGGGAUAGUCGGGGGCAUCAGUAUUCAAUUGUCA
This 650-nucleotide ribosomal RNA is filed under the name uncultured fungus. RNAcentral describes it as "SSU rRNA". It matches the Rfam family "Eukaryotic small subunit ribosomal RNA", at positions 252 to 907 of the family's 1831-position model. Lineage: Eukaryota; Fungi. The record is from RNAcentral.